GUGGAUUGAGAUACAAGUUGCAAUAUCAAGUUUUUUUGUAACUUCACUACCAAUCCAGAAAUUAAAUGUCCUUCUGAAGACUUCCUUUUUUUGAGCUUUAAAAGGAAGACAGAUACGAGGAUGACAGAU
Molecule: non-coding RNA, 129 nt
Organism: Maniola jurtina (meadow brown)
Lineage: Eukaryota; Metazoa; Arthropoda; Insecta; Lepidoptera; Nymphalidae
Product: small Cajal body-specific RNA 8
Exons: 1
Source: RefSeq, a predicted model, not a curated record